GCUGGGUGCGGUGCGCCUGGCCACCCUCGCUCCCCUCCCAGUCCGCGUCUCCUCCCCCUCGGCUCGUCUGCUCCCUGGCGUGACUCGGCACUCAGAGCUCCGGGAGGACACGUCGUGGUCGCCGCUCUUGCCCAGGCCCCGGCCUCCCGCAGCCUCUCUCGGGCUUUCUUCGUAAGUUUCGAAGCCGGAAGCGUCGCGGCCGCCCUGCCGGGCCCUCGGUGAGGAUGGUGGGAGUGAAGCCGGUCGGCAGCGAUCCAGAUUUCCAGCCGGAGCUGAGUGGGGCGGGCUCCAGACUGGCUGUGGUCAAGUUCACCAUGAGAGGGUGUGGGCCGUGUUUAAGGAUUGCUCCUGCAUUCAGUUCUAUGAGUAAUAAGUAUCCUCAGGCAGUUUUCCUGGAAGUGGAUGUACAUCAGUGCCAGGGAACAGCUGCCACCAACAACAUAUCAGCAACACCUACAUUUUUGUUUUUUCGAAACAAAGUGAGAAUCGAUCAGUAUCAAGGAGCAGAUGCUGUGGGACUAGAAGAGAAAAUCAAGCAGCAUCUAGAAAAUGAUCCUGGAAGCAAUGAGGACACAGACAUUCCGAAGGGCUAUAUGGAUUUAAUGCCUUUUAUUAACAAAGCUGGUUGUGAAUGUCUUAAUGAAAGUGAUGAGCAUGGCUUUGACAACUGUUUACGAAAAGACAUGUCCUUCUUGGAAUCUGACUGUGAUGAGCAGCUACUUAUUACUGUGGCAUUCAAUCAACCUGUUAAGCUUUAUUCCAUGAAAUUUCAAGGACCAGAUAAUGGUCAGGGUCCUAAGUACGUAAAAAUUUUUAUCAACCUACCCCGCUCUAUGGAUUUUGAGGAGGCAGAGAGGAGUGAGCCAACUCAAGCCCUGGAACUGACAGAAGAUGACAUUAAAGAAGAUGGCAUUGUUCCUCUCCGUUACGUUAAAUUUCAGAAUGUUAACAGUGUAACUUUAUUUGUUCAGUCUAAUCAAGGUGAAGAAGAAACAACAAGAAUUUCAUAUUUUACUUUUAUUGGUACUCCAGUCCAGGCAACAAAUAUGAAUGACUUCAAACGACUUUUUUAAUACAACUCAAUGAACUAAAACUGGAAGAUUUUUUUUUAAUGAAGUAAUAUAGACUUUGUCUCAUUGUACUCCCUGCCUUGCUUCAUUGCUCAUCUGUCACCUACCUACUCUCACCCUCCCCAUGUCCUCAGUUGUCGCUGCGAGAUAGAUUUCUUCAGCUUCAGCAUCUGGAUCAGCCUUCUUGUUACCUAGAUUGCCUCAACCAACUCUUCCUUCAGAUUUCAUCCCACUCAUGACUCUCAGUCAGACCUUUAUUUUGCUUGCAAUUAAGUGCCUUAAUUUUCUUACCAUAUUAUGUGACUCACAGGCAGUUUUGUUUUUGUUUUUUGUUUUUUUUUUUAACCUGCUCUUUCCUAUUUAAUUUUGUUCAAUAUUUUGAGAAAUAAUUUUGGAGCAAACUUAAAUUGUUGAAAAUGCUUUCAAGUUUAUUUAAGUAAUAUUUUCAUCCAUUUUAAAGUUUUAUAUUUUAGGAACAGGAGAAUUGUUUUUGGAAACUUAAGUAUAAGUUAUUAUUCUUUUUUUAAACUAGAGCUAGUGUUACAUACUCCUUAGGUUGUCCAGUUGAAGGACAUAUGGACUAAACAGGCUGGGUUAAAACAGUAACACAGAAGAUCAAUGGAUUCUUUGCGUAAUGAAAUUUUUUAACAUCUAAUUUUGAUGUACCUAGACUUUGGUUUAUCUGAUGUGUAACAUAAAGACUUAAGACAGAGUGAAAGAGCUUUACGUUUGGGGUAGUUGGCAAAAAAGGAGAAAGCCAUUAAGGGUACAAAAGACACUGGAAGACUUACUGCAGUCAGAUUUGCAGCUCCUGGAUAAUUGCUUGAUUCUCUUCGGAAACUGUUAAUCUUUGAUUUGUUGCCAUUACCAAUAAAUCAUUGCUUUUAUUCAGAUGGCAUCACUAGUAUUUCUAUUGUAAUCUUGAUACAUGCAGUUGUAAAUAAAAGUUACUACUUUUGCCAAGCUUAAA
This is an RNA transcript of Mesocricetus auratus (golden hamster), 2040 nucleotides long. It is a transcript of the gene named thioredoxin like 1, with no coding region annotated. Lineage: Eukaryota; Metazoa; Chordata; Mammalia; Rodentia; Cricetidae. The record is from RefSeq and is a predicted model, not a curated record. The transcript is spliced from 9 exons.